RNAcentral lists this ribosomal RNA (301 nucleotides) under uncultured bacterium. RNAcentral describes it as "partial 16S ribosomal RNA". It matches the Rfam family "Bacterial small subunit ribosomal RNA", at positions 509 to 807 of the family's 1533-position model. The record is from RNAcentral.
CAGCCGCCGCGGUAAUACAGAGGGUGCGAGCGUUAAUCGGAUUUACUGGGCGUAAAGCGUGCGUAGGUGGUGGUUUAAGUCCGUUGUGAAAGCCCUGGGCUCAACCUGGGAAUUGCAGUGGAUACUGGGUCACUAGAGUGUGGUAGAGGAUAGUGGAAUUUCCGGUGUAGCAGUGAAAUGCGUAGAGAUCGGAAGGAACAUCUGUGGCGAAGGCGACUAUCUGGGCCAACACUGACACUGAGGCACGAAAGCGUGGGGAGCAAACAGGAUUAGAUACCCGUGUAGUCCCUGUCUCUUAUAC